GAUGAACGCUGGCGGCGUGCCUAAUACAUGCAAAUCGAACGGGGGUCCGCAAGGAUCCUAGUGGCGAACGGGUGAGUAACGCGUUGGUGACCUGCCCUGGAGUGAGGGAUACCAGGCCGAAAGGCUUGCUAAUACCACAUGAGUAGUCGAGAGAUUAGAAGCUUGACUGCAAAGGAGAAAUCCGCUCUGGGAGGGGCCUGCGACCCAUCAGCUAGUUGGUAAGGUAACGGCCUACCAAGGCGAUGACGGGUAGGGGACCUGAGAGGGUGGCCCCCCACAAUGGAACUGAAACACGGUCCAUACACCUACGGGUGGCAGCAGUAGGGAAUAUUGCAUAAUGGGCGAAAGCCUGAUGCAGCAACGCCGCGUGUGCGAUGAAGGCCUUCGGGUUGUAAAGCACUUUUGAUCGGGAAGAGGAAGGACGGUACCGGUCGAAUAAGCCUCGGCUAACUACGUGCCAGCAGCCGCGGUAAAACGUAGGAGGCGAGCGUUAUCCGGAUUUACUGGGUGUAAAGCGCGUGCAGGCGGUUGGCGAAGUUGGGUGUGAAAGCUCCUGGCUCAACUGGGAGAGGUCGCUCAAAACUGGCCGACUAGAGAGCAGUAAGGGAAGGUGGAAUUCCGGGUGUAGUGGUGAAAUGCGUAGAUAUCCGGAGGAACACCAGUGGCGAAGGCGGCCUUCUGGACUGCAUCUGACGCUCAGACGCGAAAGCUAGGGUAGCAAACGGGAUUAGAGACCCCGGUAGUCCUAGCCGUAAACGAUGUGAACUUGGCGCUGGGUGGGUAAAACCGUUCAGUGCCGGAGCAAACGCGAUAAGUUCACCACCUGAGGACUACGGCCGCAAGGUUA
Molecule: ribosomal RNA, 847 nt
Filed under: uncultured bacterium
Lineage: Bacteria
Description: bacterial SSU rRNA
Rfam family: Bacterial small subunit ribosomal RNA
Source: RNAcentral